CCUACGGGUGGCUGCAGUGGGGAAUAUUGGACAAUGGGCGAAAGCCUGAUCCAGCCAUGCCGCGUGUGUGAAGAAGGCCUUCGGGUUGUAAAGCACUUUCAGUGGGGAAGAAAGCCUUGGGGCUAAUACCCUCGAGGAAGGACAUCACCCACAGAAGAAGCACCGGCUAACUCCGUGCCAGCAGCCGCGGUAAUACGGAGGGUGCGAGCGUUAAUCGGAAUUACUGGGCGUAAAGCGCGCGUAGGCGGUCUGAUAAGCCGGUUGUGAAAGCCCCGGGCUCAACCUGGGAACGGCAUCCGGAACUGUCAGGCUAGAGUGCGGGAGAGGAAGGUAGAAUUCCCGGUGUAGCGGUGAAAUGCGUAGAGAGCGGGAGGAAUACCAGUGGGGAAGGCGGCCUUCUGGACUGACACUGACGCUGAGGUGCGAAAGCGUGGGUAGCAAACAGGAGUAGAUACCCUGGUAGUC
Molecule: ribosomal RNA, 465 nt
Filed under: Vreelandella stevensii
Lineage: Bacteria; Pseudomonadati; Pseudomonadota; Gammaproteobacteria; Oceanospirillales; Halomonadaceae
Description: partial 16S ribosomal RNA
Rfam family: Bacterial small subunit ribosomal RNA
Source: RNAcentral